UACAGGGGGGGCAAGCGUUGUUCGGAAUUACUGGGCGUAAAGGGUCUGUAGGUGGCCAACUAAGUCAUCCGUGAAAUCCCUCAGCUUAACUGGGGAACUGCGUGUGAUACUGGUUGGCUUGAGUGCAGGAGAGGAACGCGGAAUUCCAGGUGUAGCGGUGAAAUGCGUAGAUAUCUGGAGGAACACCGGUGGCGAAGGCGGCGUUCUGGACUGCAACUGACACUGAGAGACGAAAGCCAGGGGAGCAAACGGG
This 253-nucleotide ribosomal RNA is filed under the name uncultured bacterium. Its description in RNAcentral is "partial 16S ribosomal RNA". It matches the Rfam family "Bacterial small subunit ribosomal RNA", at positions 524 to 776 of the family's 1533-position model. The record is from RNAcentral.